GCCGUGGUGGUGCAGUGGUCAGCACACCCGACCUGGUAUCCUAAUACGCUCGCUUCCUACGCUCGCUUACCUAAGAUCCUAAUUCUCUCUCUCGAGGGUCGGGAGGUCGUUGGUUCGAAUCCAGCCCAUGGUG
RNAcentral lists this transfer RNA (133 nucleotides) under Aureobasidium namibiae CBS 147.97. It matches the Rfam family "tRNA". Rfam says of the family: Transfer RNA (tRNA) molecules are approximately 80 nucleotides in length. Their secondary structure includes four short double-helical elements and three loops (D, anti-codon, and T loops). Further hydrogen bonds mediate the characteristic L-shaped molecular structure. tRNAs have two regions of fundamental functional importance: the anti-codon, which is responsible for specific mRNA codon recognition, and the 3' end, to which the tRNAs corresponding amino acid is attached (by aminoacyl-tRNA synthetases). tRNAs cope with the degeneracy of the genetic code in two manners: having more than one tRNA (with a specific anti-codon) for a particular amino acid; and 'wobble' base-pairing, i.e. permitting non-standard base-pairing at the 3rd anti-codon position. Lineage: Eukaryota; Fungi; Ascomycota; Dothideomycetes; Dothideales; Saccotheciaceae. The record is from Rfam by way of RNAcentral.